CGUAGCACACAGCUCAGUAGCACGUGGCCAACCUGCCCUUGGGACGGGAACACCCCGGGAAACUGGGGCUAAUUCCCGAUAGGUGAAGAUUCCUGGAAUGGGUUUUCGCCGAAAAGACGUUUAUGGCAUGCUCCUAAGCGUUGCCUAAGGAUGGGGCCGCGGCCGAUCAGGUUGUUGGUGAGGUAAUGGCUCACCAAGCCUUUAACCGGUUCGGGCCGUGGGAGCGGUAGCCCGGAGAUGGGCACUGAGACAAGGGCCCAGGCCCUACGGGGCGCAGCAGUCGCGAAAACUUCGCAAUAAGCGAAAGCUUGACGGGGCCAUCCCGAGUGCCAUCUGCUGAGGAUGGCUUUUACCCAGUGUAGAUAGCUGGGGGAAUACGGAGAGGGCAAGUCUGGUGUCAGCCGCCGCGGUAAUACCAGCUCUCCGAGUUGUGGGGACGUUUAUUGAGCUUAAAGCAUCCGUAGCCGUCUGGGCAAGUCCUCUGUUAAAUCCAGCGACUAUUCGUUGGCCUGCGGGGGAUACUGCUCGGUUAGGGGUCGGGAGAGGCCGUCGGUAUUCUUGGGUUAGGGGUGAAAUCCUAUAAUCCCAGGAGGACCACCAGUGGCGAAGGCUGUCGGCUAGAACGCGCCCGACGGUGAGGGAUGAAAGCUGGGGGAGCGAACCGGAUUAGAUACCCGGGUAGUCCCAGCUGUAAACGAUGCAGGCUAGGUGUUAGAGCGGCUACGUGCCGCUCUAGUGCCGCAGGGAAGCUGUUAAGCCUGCCGCUUGGGGACGCCGGCAGGCUGAACUUAAACGCCA
Molecule: ribosomal RNA, 798 nt
Filed under: uncultured soil archaeon
Lineage: Archaea
Description: bacterial SSU rRNA
Rfam family: Archaeal small subunit ribosomal RNA
Source: RNAcentral